This 465-nucleotide ribosomal RNA is filed under the name uncultured Luteolibacter sp. RNAcentral describes it as "bacterial SSU rRNA". It matches the Rfam family "Bacterial small subunit ribosomal RNA", at positions 338 to 795 of the family's 1533-position model. Lineage: Bacteria; Pseudomonadati; Verrucomicrobiota; Verrucomicrobiia; Verrucomicrobiales; Verrucomicrobiaceae. The record is from RNAcentral.
CCUACGGGAGGCAGCAGUCGAGAAUAAUUCACAAUGGGGGCAACCCUGAUGGUGCAACGCCGCGUGGAGGAUGAAGGUCUUCGGAUUGUAAACUCCUGUCAUCCGGGAGUAAGACCUGACGGUUAACAGCCGGCAGGGUUGAUAGUACCGGAAGAGGAAGGGACGGCUAACUUCGUGCCAGCAGCCGCGGUAAUACGAAGGUCCCGAGCGUUGUUCGGAAUCACGGGGCGUAAAGGGAGCGUAGGCGGCGUGGCAAGUCAGAUGUGAAAUCCCGGGGCUCAACCCCGGAACUGCAUCCGAUACUGCCAUGCUCGAGGAUUGGAGAGGUAGCUGGAAUUCUUGGUGUAGCAGUGAAAUGCGUGGAUAUCAAGAGGAACACUCGUGGCGAAAGCGAGCUACUGGACAACUCCUGACGCUGAGGCUCGAAGGCCGGGGGAGCGAAAGGGAUUAGAUACCCUAGUAGUC